GGUUUUUUGAUUGAUAGUCCACGAUGAUUUGUACUUUGCCUUUAAAUUUAUAUAUCGUUGUUGUUAAAAAUUUUAGGAUGGAAUUUUUUCAAAUCAAGGUGUAGUUUAUGUGAAAGUUUUAAUGGGUUACAUUAUGAAGCUUGAAUAAAAUGGAUUUGAUAGUAAGCUCUAAAAUAUGUACAUAUCGCCCGUCGCUUUCACUUUAAGGUGAAAUAAGUCGUAACAGAGUAGACUUAUUGGAAAAUGAGUCUGGAAUGCAAAUUAGAGCUUGUUAAGCAUUUUAUUUACACUAAAGGGUUAGUUGUGAGAUUCAACUUAGUUUGAACUUUAAAUGUUAUUUUAUAUUUUUUUUGUUUGUUGUUAUUAGAAGGAUAUUUAUUUUGAUUAUUUAUUUGAAAUAAUAUUAUUAUAGUUGAUUGUAUUGUGGGAGAUUUUUUUUUUGUUUUUUGAAGAAAAUUUAUUUUGUUGUACCUUGUGUGUCAGGGUUUAUUUAUUAGGGUUUCCCGAAUUCAAAAGAGCUAAUUUUGUUGUGGAAUAAGUAUUUUUAAUUGCUUUUUAGUAAUGAAACGUUAUUCGUUUUUGAAUAUAUCUGGUUUUUUAAGAAAUUGAUUUAAUUAAUCCAGAAUUGGGUUAAGCUUAUGGGGGAUAAGCUCUUGAAUUUAUUAUUAUAAUUUAUUUGUUUUUAAUAAUUAAUAGGAUUAGAAUUUUUCAAUUUUAGGAGGAUGUUAUAAUGUUUUUUAAUUUUUUUAUUAAAAUUUUUGCUUUAAUUUUUUUGUUAGGUGAUUUUGAUAGAAUUAGUAAGGUUAUUUUAAGGAAUUCGGCAAAUUGAAUUUUCACCUGUUUAUUAAAAACAUGUCUUUUUGAUUAUUAUUUAAGGUCGGGCCUGCCCUAUGAUUAAAUGGCCGCAGUAUUUUGACUGUGCAAAGGUAGCAUAAUCAUUAGUUUCUUAAUUAGAAGCUGGAAUGAAUGGUUUAAUGAGAAAUUGGCUGUCUCUAGAAUUUUAUUUUUAAGUUAGAAAGCUUAAAUGAAUUAGAAAGACGAGAAGACCCUAUAGAGUUUUUAAAUUGGGGUGAUAUUGAAAUUUGGUUAACUUUUGUUUU
This 1100-nucleotide ribosomal RNA is filed under the name Amarygmus sp. NLG-2012. RNAcentral describes it as "partial 16S ribosomal RNA". The record is from RNAcentral. Lineage: Eukaryota; Metazoa; Arthropoda; Insecta; Coleoptera; Tenebrionidae.